AAGGCCGGCGGAGACCGCGAGCUGUGCGCACGCGUCAGUCUCGGAGUGCCCUACGCCGCUUUCACCCGGCCACGAUUUGGCGCCUUGUUCCAGCACCGGGAAGGUGCUGGAGUCGGAGCUGUGUGCGUAAAGUCACCUGUGUGGGCUGCUGCUGCAGGACCCCCAGCUGGGUCCUUGUGGAGUGUGCUGGAUGAGGACCAGGGGAGCAGGAAGGUGUGUCAAGCUCAGUUUGAUCUGGCUUACUGUGUUGGCAGAGAAACCCAUUAUCGGGGCACAGAAAACCUAUUACCCUGAAAGAGCAGUAAGGCUCUUAACUGCUGAGCCAUUUCUCCAGCCUCCGUGAUGGUUCAUCUUGUCAAAAUCAUCGUGGAAGCAAAUCUCUAGGUCGGGCCAGCAAGACAGCCCAGUUGAGUAAAGGUAGUGUCACCAAGCCUGACUGCCUGGGUUCAGUCCCCAGGACCAUGUCAUGUGGUGGAAGUUGGGAACCAACCGCUCUGACGUCCCUGUGUGGUGGAUCUGGACAUCUGGACGCACACAAUGUAUAAUUAAAAAAAAUACCACUGGGUGUGUCUGUGAGGUUCUAGACAGGUUUAACCGAAGAAGAAAGACUUACUAUUAAUGUGUGUGGCUCCAUCCUAGAGGCUAGGGUCUCAGACUGAAUAAAAGAAGUAAACCAUCUCAUUCUGUUUCCUGGCUGCAGAUGGCAAUGUGACCAGCUGCCCGGCUGAUCCCCACCAUGAUGAACUAUACCCUUCCCUAAGAUGCUUCUGUGAUGUUUGUAGACCCAGCAAUAAGAACAGUAACUGAUACAGUCUCCCAGUCGUUGGGAUCACAGGCAGGAGUCAGCCUAUCCACUGGUAUGCGAACACUAAAGAAUCACUGUAUCGCAUGGAUGCCUCCGGAAACACGUGAAGACGAUGUCAGGUGCCAGAGGGCUUUGGAGCCCUUCACACACUGCGCCACGCUCUCCCUUGCCUCUGCACAUCGGCAUGUUAUUUCCAGAGUAUCUAAGAACCGGUGAUCCCUAGCCCAGCUCAUCCACCUUCAAGGCUGAAGGUCCGAAGAUAAUGCAGGCGUCUUGCUCGGCUUGUAUGUCUCCUUUCAAACUCAGAAGAGGAGGAGGAGGAGGUAGAAAGAGGAGGAGGCCAUCCAAGGUUCUCCAGUCACAGCCCAAAGCUUGUAGUCACCUUCCAUUCUAGGAACAGCAGAGCCUUGAAGACAGAUCACCCCAUGAGUAAGAGGAGUCAUCUCAUGGGAAGGAGCUUGACCUUUCAAGCAAUAAGGAUUUCUUCAGACCGUCCCACAAAACGGCUGAGAAAAUGAGAAACCAGACCACGCCGUGACCAGUACCGCUUGAUUAUUGUUUGUGUUGGCUGAACUGUUUAUGACCCUGGGGAUGGAACCCGGGGCCUUAUGUAUGCCAGGCAAGUGUCCCACCACGGAACUUCACCGCCAGCCCGAGUGCGAUUUUGAGCAUACCCUUUGAAUUCAGGCAUGGUGGCUUUGGGGAUGGCGUCAAGAGGAUCAGGAGUUCAUCCUCAGCUGGGCAGUUGAGUUUGAGGCCAGCCUGGAUGACAUGAGACAUUGCCUCAAAAUAAAGGGGCCAGAGAUGUGGAUCCGUUGGUAGCUUGCUUGCUGAGCACACAGGGAGGGAGCACUAGGUUUAAUGCCCAGCUCUGCAUGGCUCACACCUGUAAUCCCAGCACUUGGCGGGGUGGAGGCUGGAAGAUCAGGAGUUCAAAGUUAUCCUUGGCUAUAUAACAAGUUUGAGGCUCUCCUGGCUAUAUGAAAAACCCUGUCUUAACUCUUCCAGAAAAAAAAAAGAUUUUAUAUAUAUAUAUAUAUAUAAAUAAUACACACACACACACACACACACACACACACACACACACACACACACGAGCGAUACACCACUUGGGAGCUGAAUGCCAUCUAUUCUUCCCUCUGUGGUAGGAGCGGAACUGCAGCCAGGGGGCGCUGCUGUGGAGACGCUUUUCAGUUAGGGACAUCUCGGAGGGAAGAUGUUGGCUGAGUGUGGCUAGAACAGUGGUUCUCAACCGCCUUCCAGAUGCUGCAACCCUUUAACACAGUUCCUUGUGUCAUGGGGAUCCCCAACAAUAGAAUUAUUUCCAUUGCUAAAUUCCAUUGUAAUUUUGCUACAAUAAUUACAUGAAUUGUAACGUAAAUAUCGGAUAUUUCCGAUGGUCUUAGGCGGCCCCUGUGAAAGCCAUUUAACCCCUGAAGGCUUGUGACCCAUAGGUUGAGAACGGCUAGUUUAGAUGACCACCUCCUGGGCUUCUCGUUCUUCAAUGGCAUGAAGGCCCUGCCCACCUGAGAGCUCCAGCCACAGAAACUCAACACGUGGCCUGGGUCUCAUGAGGAAAGAAAGUGACAUCAGUGAUACCCACUUACAUCCUAAUCACCCCAUUCCCAAUCCCAAGCGUCCAUCACCACAGCAGAUAGAAAGGGACGUGGUAGCCCAGCUCUGCUGUAUAGUCUGGGAGGACACCCCAAACAAAGGGGCUUUGUGUGGGGGCUGGAAAGAGCUAUCAGGCUCCAAGCUCCCAGAAUGGAGGGGUGUGGAGAGGAGUGUUGGGACAGCAGUUGGUGUAGAGAGCCGUGCACGGCCGCGCCUCAAAGAUGGCUUCUGCCUUCCCGAUGGCAGGCGUUCUCUGGGAUAAACAACUCCUUAUAUGGCUUGGGCGUGGAAUCUGGCUUGCUUGCGUAUGUCUGACCCUAUCGGCAUUGUCCACGUGGCACUACGGGGUUGGUUGCCCAGUGGCUAUAAAGGGCGUGGGCUGGCUUUCCCGGGAGUCAGAAGAUGGCUUUCCCCGGGGUCAGAAGAUUGUUCAAGGUUCCUAAAUAAACUGCUUGGAGAAGAGCCCGGUGUUGCGUCUUCCUUGCUGGUCGAGGCGGACGCGACAAGUGGUGGCCCGUACGGGGAACCUUUAAGGCUCAGAACUCUUCGCAGUCAGGGCAGUGCACUGGUAAGUCCCCAGGUAAGGUGGGGGUCCGCGACAAAAGUGGGAAAAUUAAGUAGAGCCGCGACAAAAGCAGAUGGGAAAAUUAAAACGUAGAGCCGCGACAAAAGCGGACGGGAAAAUUAAAGAGUAGAGCCACGACAAAAGCGGAUGGGAAAAUUAAAAAGUAGAGCCGUGACAAAAGCGGACGGGGAAAUUAAAGAAAGUGAAAGCAGGUGAAGGCAAAAGUGCUGCUAGUAUCAUGGGCGCAACUUCUUCGCACCCAAUUUUUCUGGCUCUUAACGAGCUGCUCCUUUCAAAGAAAUUAGAGAUUAAGAAGAGUACUUUAGAAAGAUUUCUAGAGGAAUGUGAUGUUGUGGCACCCUGGUUUGCAGUUUCCGGAAGCCUCACGGUAGUUUCCUGGGAAAAGUUGGGCCGUGAUCUAGACUUCGCUGCAGAACAAGGGACGCUUAAACAUGGGGUUAGACCAGUUUGGAAAUUAGUGAGAGGGUGUCUCGAAGACCAGCGCUGCAGCCAUGCGGUAGAGAAUGGGCAGGCAGCCUUAGUAAUGUUGCAGGAGGAAAGAUCAGAAAAGGCCAUGUCUGCUAAAGCAGCGUCUACCAGAAGUAAAACAAAAAAGGAGGAAGAAAAAACAAGGUUAUAUCCUGACCUUUCGGACCUAGAGUGUUCCGAGUCCCCUAUCUCUUCCCCUGAUUCUGAUGAUGCAGAGUCAUUAUGUGAAACCUUGCAGAGCAUGAGAAUAAGAAAGAAAAGGGGUAGAAAUAAAGGAGAAAGAGAAAGAAUUAAAGGAUGUGAGUCUGAGUGUGGAGCCACUCCCUCAGCUCCUCCACCAUAUCUGGAAUCUGCCUCCAUGUCUAGAGUUGUCUCUAUGGGGAAUUCUUUUAACCGGAGGUUUGGAGACAGGUUAGAACUGAAAUGCAGCUAGCUUGCCCAAUGUUUCUCAAUGCCCAGACUCAACAGAGAUACCAUGAACCUUUGGAUUUUAAGGUCAUCAAGUCUCUAGCGGAAUCUGUCCGGACUUAUGGCAUCACAGCCUCAUAUACUGUUGCUCAAGUGGAGGCUCUGCACAGAUUUUGCAUGACUCCAUCCGAUUGGAUGAAUCUUGCUCGAGCAUGUCUCAGCGCAGGGCAGUAUUUAGACUGGAAGGCAUUUUUGAUAGAAUUUGCCAGUGAACAAGCUGCGAUUAACAGGGCUGCAGGUGGAGGUCAAGCAGCUUGGGAUGUAGACAUGCUGCUGGGACAAGGCCAGUUUGCCAAUCAACAAAAUGGAUAUCCACAGCAGGUUUAUGACCAGAUAAAUCAACUAGCAACAAGGGCAUGGAAGUCCCUACCUAAUAAAGGGGAAGUGAGCGGCAACCUUACGAAGAUCCUUCAGGGACCUAUGGAACCUUUUUCAGAUUUUGUGGCCCGCAUGGUCGAGGCUGCAGGCAGAAUCUUUGGGGACCCAGAUGCCGCGAUGCCGCUUAUAAAGCAGCUAGUUUAUGAACAAUGUACCAAAGAAUGCAAGGCUGCGAUCACCCCUUAUAAGAACAAAGGUCUAGAAGUAUGGAUGAAAGUGUUGCAGAGAAUUAGGGGGACCUCUAACUAACGCAGGCCUUGCGGCUGCAGUUAUGCAACUUAGUAACAAGAAAGGAGGGAACACUGGGGCAUGUUUUCGGUGUGGAAAAAUGGGCCAUCUCAAACGUAGCUGCCCUCAAGGAAAAGGUAACUUCUAUAGUUUCAUUAAACAGUAUAAAUAAGUAGAUGUUAAAAUGUUAUAUGUGAGUUUGUAAAAAUGUGUAAAUGUUGAGUGUGAGUUUAGGCUUAAGCACAUGUUAUAUGUGAGUUUGUGAAAAGGUGUAAAUGUUGAUUGUGAAUCUAAGCUUAAUGUAUGUGGUGAAAGAACCUGAGACACAGAAGGUUAGUGUCCCAGUAGACUGCAAAGUAGGCAGUCUGAAUGGUUUCAAAAGUUUCAGAAGCCACUAAGAAGCUAAGAAUGAUGGAUGCCAGAGCCAGCACAACAAGGCAUUUGCAGCUGAGAUCUGUGGAAAAUCAACGCAACACAGAAAAACCUGAGCUAACAGCGAAAACGGUGCGGUUUAAAAUUACUGACUCCGCAGAUGGGAGUACAAUUAGUGGAGUCUGAUUUUAAAGGCCCUUUGAAGCCGGGCACGGUGGGUUUAUUGAUAGGAAGAUCCUCCACCACCAUAAGAGGUCUUAUUGGGAUCGUGAAUGGCUUAUUGGGAUCGUUGCAGGCUAAAUUUUCUCUUUCCCGUGUGGAUGCGCGCCAAGUAGUUAAGGCCAAGGCAUUGUGGAGCGUGCGCAUCGGUCCCUCAAAGAAAUUCUUCAAAAACAAAAAGGGGGAAUAGGCCGUGACCAAACCCCAAGAGAAAGACUCUCUCUGGCAUUAUUCACCUUAAAUUUUUUUAAUUUGGAUGCCUCGGGAAGUUCAUCAGCAGAUAGGCAUCAUAAUCCACACAGCCCUAUGAAGGCGGGUGGAGGGUGUAGCCGGCGUCCGGCUUCCGCCUUCCCGAUGGCAGGUGUUCUCUGGGAUAAACAACUCCUUAUUUGGCUUGGGCGUGGAAUCUGGCUUGCUUGCGUAUGUCUGACCCUAUCGGCAUUGUCCACGUGGCACUACGGGGUUGGUUGCCCAGUGGCUAUAAAGGGCGUGGGCUGGCUUUCCCGGGAGUCAGAAGAUGGCUUUCCCCGGGGUCAGAAGAUUGUUCAAGGUUCCUAAAUAAACUGUUUGGAGAAGA
Molecule: long non-coding RNA, 5715 nt
Organism: Peromyscus californicus insignis
Lineage: Eukaryota; Metazoa; Chordata; Mammalia; Rodentia; Cricetidae
Exons: 2
Source: RefSeq, a predicted model, not a curated record